RNAcentral lists this ribosomal RNA (785 nucleotides) under uncultured Neocallimastigales. RNAcentral's name for it is "partial large subunit ribosomal RNA". It matches the Rfam family "Eukaryotic large subunit ribosomal RNA", at positions 24 to 634 of the family's 3401-position model. Lineage: Eukaryota; Fungi; Neocallimastigomycota; Neocallimastigomycetes; Neocallimastigales. The record is from RNAcentral.
UAUCUCUGUAGAGUCUGCAUAUCAAUAAGCGGAGGAAAAGAAACUAACAAGGAUUCCCUUAGUAACGGCGAGUGAAGCGGGAAGAGCUCAAAUUUGAAAUCUUCAAGGUUUACCUUGACGAAUUGUAGUUUAAAGAAGUGUUUUCUGUUAGAGAGUUCGGUAAAAGUUCCUUGGAAUAGGGACAUCAUAGAGGGUGAGGAAUCCCGUAUUUGACCGUUAUUCAUUCUAGCUGUGUGAUACACUUUCAAAGAGUCGGAUUGUUUGGGAAUGCAGUCCAAAAUGGGUGGUAAAUUUCAUCUAAAGCUAAAUAUUGGCGAGAGACCGAUAGCGAACAAGUACCGUGAGGGAAAGAUGAAAAGAACUUUGAAAAGAGAGUUAAACAGUACGUGAAAUUGUCAAAAGGGAAGCGUUUGACACCAGUGUUGUUUUCUCGAAAAUCAAUUAAAAAUGGCAGUGAUUUUGUGUUGUAUUGACCUUAUAAGCUUUCUGCACUUUUUCUAUGUCUUUUUUAAUGCACUUUUCGUUUAACAAGUCAACAUCAAUUUCUUUUGUUGUAAAAGGGUCAUUGGAAGGUGGCUUUCUUUUCGGAGAAAGUGUUUAUAGCCUUUGACUUCUGCAAUCGGAGAGACUGAGGUCUGCAGCGUAGAUCCUUCGGGAUUAGAUUCAGUUAGAUGCUAAGUUACUACCGUUUUUAUAGACAACUUGUUGACUAUAAUUCGAUCCUGUAGCUUACUCGCUUAUGGUAUUUUACCUACGCUUAGGAUGUUGAAGAUGUAGCACAUCAU